RNAcentral lists this ribosomal RNA (253 nucleotides) under uncultured bacterium. Its description in RNAcentral is "partial 16S ribosomal RNA". It matches the Rfam family "Bacterial small subunit ribosomal RNA", at positions 524 to 776 of the family's 1533-position model. The record is from RNAcentral.
GACAGAGGGUGCAAACGUUGCUCGGAAUCACUGGGCGUAAAGCGCACGUAGGCGGAUUGUUAAGUCAGGGGUGAAAUCCCAGAGCUCAACUCUGGAACUGCCUUUGAUACUGGCGAUCUUGAGUCCGGAAGAGGUGAGUGGAACUCCGAGUGUAGAGGUGAGAUUCGUAGAUAUUCGGAAGAACACCAGUGGCGAAGGCGGCUCACUGGUCCGGUACUGACGCUGAGGUGCGAAAGCGUGGGGAGCAAACAGG